RNAcentral lists this ribosomal RNA (253 nucleotides) under uncultured bacterium. RNAcentral describes it as "partial 16S ribosomal RNA". It matches the Rfam family "Bacterial small subunit ribosomal RNA", at positions 524 to 776 of the family's 1533-position model. The record is from RNAcentral.
UACGUAGGGGGCAAGCGUUGUCCGGAAUCAUUGGGCGUAAAGCGCGUGUAGGCGGUCCGGUAAGUCGGUUGUGAAAGUCCAGGGCUCAACCCUGGGAUGCCGACCGAUACUGUCGGACUAGAGUUCGGAAGAGGCGAGUGGAAUUCCCGGUGUAGUGGUGAUAUGCGUAGAUAUCGGGAGGAACACCUGUGGCGAAGGCGGCUUUCUGGGCCUUACCUGACGCUGAGACGCGAAAGCGUGGGGAGCGAACCGG